Molecule: long non-coding RNA, 695 nt
Organism: Mugil cephalus (flathead mullet)
Lineage: Eukaryota; Metazoa; Chordata; Actinopteri; Mugiliformes; Mugilidae
Exons: 3
Source: RefSeq, a predicted model, not a curated record
UUUAGGUGACCCAGAAAGGCUGGAGCAGUAGAUGCUGAACAUGAGCAGGAGGAAUUGGCUCCUUGCACAAUAUGGCGACCGAAGUUGAGUGUGUGGGCCAGUAUUUCUGGUCAAAACUUCCGCCGGCGUCAAUUUGAAAGCGAGAGCGGGAGAACAGGGACAUUGCAUAGCAGAGCAGGGAGAUACUUUCUCACGAUGAGUUUUUAAGGUUCAAGAGAGACGACUUGUCCUUCAGAGGGGAAGAACAUGCCCGAAGGACACUGCUGUGCCUACCAUCUUUUCUUUCUGCAAGGGCAAAGAAGAACAGCUAACAGAAUAAAGUGUGAGAAUGAAAAAGAAGAAAAAGACAGUGUUUUCAGAAAAUAUGAAGCAAUUUGCAACCACACUGCAUUUCUACUCUCCGAAGGGAUCUGACGAAGUCAUAUCCCUGUAAAUGAAGUGGCAGUUAAUCCAUUUACAGCUUUAAAAAGUCAUGUUGCUGAGAAGAAGCUGGAAGGGAAAGAGACAUUUUUCUCAUUGAUGAUGGUUGAAAUGUACAUCCGUAAGCAAACUGAGUUUGAUGGGGACCAAAUUCACACUGAGGAGCUCCACAAGUUUCAGGAGAAGGAAGGCUUGCGUCUUGGGAACAAAUUAAAAAUUGCACACAUUCAGUGGCAAAAUCAAAAAAUUAAGGUCCAUCUUGCAGCCCAGCUCUU